This 404-nucleotide ribosomal RNA is filed under the name uncultured Hyphomicrobiales bacterium. RNAcentral describes it as "uncultured Rhizobiales bacterium partial 16S ribosomal RNA". It matches the Rfam family "Bacterial small subunit ribosomal RNA", at positions 378 to 774 of the family's 1533-position model. The record is from RNAcentral. Lineage: Bacteria; Pseudomonadati; Pseudomonadota; Alphaproteobacteria; Hyphomicrobiales.
AAACCCUGAUGCAGCCAUGCCGCGUGUGUGAAGAAGGCCUUCGGGUUGUAAAGCACUUUCAGUCAGGAGGAAGGUGGUGUAGCUAAUAUCUGCACCAAUUGACGUUACUGACAGAAGAAGCACCGGCUAACUCCGUGCCAGCAGCCGCGGUAAUACGGAGGGUGCGAGCGUUAAUCGGAAUUACUGGGCGUAAAGCGUGCGCAGGCGGACUCUUAAGUCGGUGGUGAAAUCCUGGAGCUCAACUCCAGAACUGCCUUCGAUACUGGGAGUCUCGAGUUCGGGAGAGGUGAGUGGAACUGCGAGUGUAGAGGUGAAAUUCGUAGAUAUUCGCAAGAACACCAGUGGCGAAGGCGGCUCACUGGCCCGAUACUGACGCUGAGGUGCGAAAGCGUGGGGAGCAAACA